AAUUACAAUAAGGAAUGAAGAACAAAUAAAACCCUUAAUUAAAAUCCUAAGGCGAUCUUGAACUCUAACUGAGGAUGACUGGAUACUGAGGAUCCAAGGGUGGCAUCAAGCAUCACUGCUUCCGAUUGUCAAUCUAAAAUCAUCGCUCUGUCACGUCUUCAACGUCGUUACAAUUCUCGCAUGACUCAAAACUCUAAGAACUCGGUCCACAACAGUAGUAGAGGGUCACAAUCUUAAAAGAACAUAUAUACGAAAAUACAAAGCACGAAAGCAUAAUAUGACAUGACAUCAAUUGGUAAAUAGCGUGCAUAAAAAUAUUAUCAUAUAACAAACAUGACUCAUGUGACAAAGCACUGUAAUGCAACACUUAUAUGUCAGUGCACAUGAUUUCGAAAUUUCCACACCCUUCUCGAGGGGCGUAAAUCAUAAAUGUACCACCUCUCGCAUACCAAUAUUAAUUACCGAGGUGCCACCUUUCACAAAUCAACACGAUUUACCAGAGUGUAGUUUANNNNNNNNNNNNNACGACUCAAAAAUCCUCGUAAGGAUAAGGUGGACCAAUCAACUCAUGGAACCACCCCAUGCCCAUCACGGUCACCACUAACACUAUGGCCCAUCACGGUCGCCACUAACUAUGAAAUGCAUGAGCAUACUCUAACUCUUUCACAUUAGUCAUUAUGUAAAUGCAGCUAUUAAAAAACUCAUCUUUUAAUACUCAUUAAACACUAAUAAUUUUUACUACUUUUUCACAUAGCAUACUCAAAACAUAUUCUCAUCAAUAACACAUAUGUUAUCAAUUAUGAAUACGUAAUCACAUUGAAUACAUAAACAAUCGUGUGUACAUUUAUUCACAAUGAGCACAAAGAACAUGUAUACAAAUGCACAAUGUAUUCAAGCAUAUAUCAUAUCGUUAGAAAACGUAUUUACCUAAAUAGUGUUUUAUUACACAAGCAACUUACGCUACGCCUACAUAACCUAUCCGACGAUUUCAACAACACCUCUCAAUUUUCUUGUACCUUAAAUCAAUCAAUUAAAUUAAUCAAUACAAAUUUCUAAACCAACCCCAAAUGAACCCUAGAUUUGGCCACUAUCCAAAUCAAUUAGAUUUUGACUUUUCUCUUAGGUUCCCUAACUUCAAAAAGACAUUGGUUUAAGUACUUUGGCAAGUCAAAUUUUAAAACACUUAUGCUACACUUUGAAAAUCUUGAAUAUUUUUUCUUUUCAACUUAUUGAAGUUCAACUCAAAUUUUUGUCUUUAACAACUUAUGACAAAAUAUUUUCUUCAUAAAAUCAAUCAAAGACAAACAUACUCAAACCUUAAAAUUGAAACUUUAUUCAUAAAGUGAAUAUUUCUCUUUUAAAGUCAUGAAGUUUGAAACUUUGUUUCUCAAAGUUAAAUCUCUUCAUAAAAAUUGAAAACUUAAUAUCAACGACUAAAACUUUUUAGUUCAAUCUAUAAAGGUGGAAACUUUGAUUUCACAAAAACCUCAAGGAUAAAAUCUUUAACACCUUAAUAACAAAGUAAACUUAAAACCAACCUUUAAACAAAAUUUUGAACUCCCUUUCUAUAUAUAUACCACUCGGCUAAAAUUCAUUUUACUUAACAAAGUCUUUCAAAAAAAAAAAAAAAAUCCAAAUCUAGUUUGAAACACCUUAAAUAAUCAAUGACAACAACUCAUAUGGUUUCAAACUUUAAACGACUCCAAAUUUUAAUUUAUACUACCAUUAAAGUUCAUAAAAUUUAUACUAUUCAAAUACUUUUGAAUUAAAACAAACCACAACAAUUCAUUUACCACUUUAUUUCAAAACUUAUUUCAAAAAUUUAGCCAUGACCUUUUUGUUCUUAUCUCUUUUCCUUAAAAAUUUCAACCCAACAAACAUAAAAUAUUCAGAGUUCUCCCUGCCGCUAACUUCCCGAUUAUUUUUUGAGACUCAAAGAGCUAACUUCAUAAACAUAGGGAAUUGUAAAAUUUACUUCAAGGAUACAUUAGUCAAGAAAACUACUCAAUUCAUUUUUCAUCAAUCACUAAAUUUAAAAUCCUCAUUUUACAACUUUGAGGUUUUUAAAAAAAAUAUAUAUAUAUCACUUUGGUCCCCAAACACCUUAACAUAACCAAACACACUUGCAAAAGUCUUCUUAACUUUACUAACUUAAACCCUUUAAUAAAAUUUCUAUUGUUAUUUCAAACUUAUUUAUUAGAAAAUAACUCCAUUAUGUUACUCAAACACAUACAAAAAUUAAAUUUUCACAUUAUAUAACACACCACAUUUCGUCUUACUAAAAGUUUUGGGGGGUUGAUUUCAUUUUUUUUUAUUCAAGUUAUUAACUCCUCUAAUUUCAAUAUUAACAUAGCACCAAAGCAAAAUCAGACUUUCCUUUUACUCUCUUACUUAGGAUUUUUUAUUUUUGAAAUAAAAAGAGUUGAAAAUGUUUCCUUUGACUUUCUAAACAUUAAUAACAACCAUAGUAGUGAUAAACAAGCAAAAUUAAAGCUCAAAACAUAAAAUUAAAAAAUUAAAAAAAAAAAUCAUUUUCCCCCCUAUAUAUGCAUGCUUACGUGAUUUAGAGAAAAUAGGGAAGAAAUGACUACCUCGACUAGUGAUCCUUAGUUCUUUGCAAUCCUCUCAAGUAACGAAAUAAUUUUGUAAUUGAAAGUUUUGUGAUUGGAAGUUUCCUUGAAGCUCAAAAAUGGAAGAAAAGAGAAGAAGAAAAUUUUGAAAUAAUAGGGAAGAAGGAGUAUGCUGGUGGGUGUAAC
RNAcentral lists this long non-coding RNA (2756 nucleotides) under Cicer arietinum (chickpea). RNAcentral's name for it is "long non-coding RNA (CARI_LNC002004)". The record is from RNAcentral. Lineage: Eukaryota; Viridiplantae; Streptophyta; Magnoliopsida; Fabales; Fabaceae.